RNAcentral lists this ribosomal RNA (303 nucleotides) under uncultured bacterium. Its description in RNAcentral is "partial 16S ribosomal RNA". It matches the Rfam family "Bacterial small subunit ribosomal RNA", at positions 507 to 808 of the family's 1533-position model. The record is from RNAcentral.
AGCAGUAGCCGCGGUAAUACGUAGGUCCCGAGCGUUGUCCGGAUUUAUUGGGCGUAAAGCGAGCGCAGGCGGUUAGAUAAGUCUGAAGUUAAAGGCUGUGGCUUAACCACAGUACGCUUUGGAAACUGUUUAACUUGAGUGCAAGAGGGGAGAGUGGAAUUCCAUGUGUAGCGGUGAAAUGCGUAGAUAUAUGGAGGAACACCGGUGGCGAAAGCGGCUCUCUGGCUUGUAACUGACGCUGAGGCUCGAAAGCGUGGGGAGCAAACAGGAUUAGAUACCCCGGUAGUCCCUGUCUCUUAUACA